CCUACGGGAGGCUGCAGUGGGGAAUAUUGGACAAUGGGCGAAAGCCUGAUUCAGCCAUGCCGCGUGUGUGAAGAAGGCCUUCGGGUUGUAAAGCACUUUCAGUGGGGAAGAAAGCCUUGGGGCUAAUACCCUCGAGGAAGGACAUCACCCACAGAAGAAGCACCGGCUAACUCCGUGCCAGCAGCCGCGGUAAUACGGAGGGUGCGAGCGUUAAUCGGAAUUACUGGGCGUAAAGCGCGCGUAGGCGGUCUGAUAAGCCGGUUGUGAAAGCCCCGGGCUCAACCUGGGAACGGCAUCCGGAACUGUCAGGCUAGAGUGCAGGAGAGGAAGGUAGAAUUCCCGGUGUAGCGGUGAAAUGCGUAGAGAUCGGGAGGAAUACCAGUGGCGAAGGCGGCCUUCUGGACUGACACUGACGCUGAGGUGCGAAAGCGUGGGUAGCAAACAGGAUUAGAUACCCCGGUAGUC
Molecule: ribosomal RNA, 465 nt
Filed under: Vreelandella stevensii
Lineage: Bacteria; Pseudomonadati; Pseudomonadota; Gammaproteobacteria; Oceanospirillales; Halomonadaceae
Description: partial 16S ribosomal RNA
Rfam family: Bacterial small subunit ribosomal RNA
Source: RNAcentral